UACGUAGGGUGCAAGCGUUAAUCGGAAUUACUGGGCGUAAAGCGUGCGCAGGCGGCUUUGCAAGACAGAUGUGAAAUCCCCGGGUUCAACCUGGGAACUGCAUUUGUGACUGCAAGGCUAGAGUACGGUAGAGGGGGAUGGAAUUCCGCGUGUAGCAGUGAAAUGCGUAGAUAUGCGGAGGAACACCGAUGGCGAAGGCAAUCCCCUGGACCUGUACUGACGCUCAUGCACGAAAGCGUGGGGAGCAAACAGG
Molecule: ribosomal RNA, 253 nt
Filed under: uncultured bacterium
Lineage: Bacteria
Description: partial 16S ribosomal RNA
Rfam family: Bacterial small subunit ribosomal RNA
Source: RNAcentral